AAUCACAAAAGGCCAAAACCGUUUGGGUGCGGGGGAAAAGAAUCGUUUGUGCGAAUGCCAAUCCACUUUGAACGGCUCGUACUAGGGGUGAAUCGCUUGACUGCGUAGGGUUGUACUCUCAACCCGAAUCCGACAGCUAACCUCGCCGGCCGCUAAAGGAGGAUCU
Molecule: small RNA, 166 nt
Filed under: Cohnella sp.
Lineage: Bacteria; Bacillati; Bacillota; Bacilli; Caryophanales; Paenibacillaceae
Description: c-di-AMP sequence
Rfam family: c-di-AMP riboswitch aptamer (ydaO/yuaA leader)
About the family: This family represents a conserved RNA structure found upstream of the ydaO and yuaA genes in Bacillus subtilis and related genes in other bacteria.
Source: RNAcentral